Homo sapiens (human) is the source of this 675-nucleotide long non-coding RNA. Lineage: Eukaryota; Metazoa; Chordata; Mammalia; Primates; Hominidae. The record is from Ensembl.
UGGAGAACAGUCUUACAAAUGUAACGAAUGUGGUAAGCCUUUUUAAAAAUCAAAUGGUGCUGGGAUUACAGGUGUGAGCCACCGCUCCCAGCCUCUCUGUACAAAUUUUUUGCCACACAAAUCUGAAAAUACCACCUUGAUUUAUGGAUCCUCCAAGUUUUUCACUGAAGUACAAGGGAACAAAUGUAAAUCUAUAAAUUGGGUUAAAUGAUUUCUAGGAAAGUGUAUAAUAAUAAUAACAAUUAUUUUUUUGAGACAGAGUCUCUGUCACCCAGGCUGGAGUGAAACUGUGUCUCAAAAUAAAUAAAUAAAUAAUAAAUAAAUAAAUAAUAGAAAUGAAGUUUUGCUAUAGUUGAGAAAUUAUAGAAUGCCAUGCUUAUUAUGAUAACCUCAUACAGAAAUUUUUACAGCUUUUUGAAAAAUGGCUUUUUUGUUAUUCAAUUUUUAUAGUCUUAUAAACAUUAAUUUUCACAAGACUAGUGUAAAAAUAUUGUAGACAAUUUGUCUAAGCAGUAUUUCGGAAGCACUUUCAACAGUUAUGUAAAGGGUCCUAUUUAUGCUUGAAGAAAGGACAUGUAUAAGGUUUUUAGCAUGAGGAAAUUAAGUCUUUCUCAACCUAGAAGUCAGGAGUUUCAAGAGUAAACAUUCAGUGUUGAAUUAAAGAAUCUGAAUCUA